RNAcentral lists this ribosomal RNA (253 nucleotides) under uncultured bacterium. Its description in RNAcentral is "partial 16S ribosomal RNA". It matches the Rfam family "Bacterial small subunit ribosomal RNA", at positions 524 to 776 of the family's 1533-position model. The record is from RNAcentral.
UACGUAGGGAGCAAGCGUUGUUCGGAUUUACUGGGCGUAAAGGGCGCGUAGGCGGCGCGGUAAGUCACUUGUGAAAUCUCUGAGCUUAACUCAGAACGGCCAAGUGAUACUGCAGUGCUAGAGUGCAGAAAGGGCAAUCAGAAUUCUUGGUGUAGCGGUGAAAUGCGUAGAUAUCAAGAGGAAUACCUGAGGCGAAGGCGGGUUGCUAGGCUGACACUGACGCUGAGGCGCGAAAGCCAGGGGAGCAAACGGG